This 358-nucleotide long non-coding RNA is filed under the name Gallus gallus (chicken). Lineage: Eukaryota; Metazoa; Chordata; Aves; Galliformes; Phasianidae. The record is from RNAcentral.
GUGCACGGUGCAGUGGAAGAGGGAGUUGCGGUCCUCCCGUGUCACCUUGCUGAACAGAGUGCUCACCACCGUGUACAGCCCGUUCGACUCGCGGACCAACGUGGUCAGGAUCUUUGUCUUGUCCUCCUCCUGCAGCAGCGGCUCCCCGUUCUUGUACCAGGUGAUGUUGGGGGACGGGAAGCUGUUCUCGCUCGUGCACUGAGCAAUCUUCAACAUGUCAUUGCUUUGUGCAGGGAUGCCGGCCGAGUUGGGUGUGAUCUCAGGGGGUGCGGGGAUCUUGUAGGUGUAGAGCUCGGUGCGGCUCUCCCCCACGCCCUGGCUGUCCGCCCCAACCUGGCAGAUGAAGGUCCUGGCGUUG